CUCCCUUCCAGGGUUACCCUGCUGAUGAGCCCGUGCAAGUCGGGCGAAAAGAA
RNAcentral lists this non-coding RNA (53 nucleotides) under Rhodocyclus tenuis. The record is from RNAcentral. Lineage: Bacteria; Pseudomonadati; Pseudomonadota; Betaproteobacteria; Rhodocyclales; Rhodocyclaceae.